UUCUAACCGUCUAAUAUACUAAUCGUUAGUGGCGGACGGGUGAGUAACACGUUGGAACCUGCCCAAAGUAGGAUAAGCCACCGAAAGGUUGGUCUAAUACCUUAUAGUAUCCAUCUCGUAUGGAUUAAAGCCCUUAUGCGCUUUGGGAGGGGCCUGCGUUUGAUUAGCUAGUUGGUGAGGUAAAAGCUCACCAAGGCGACGAUCAAUAGCUGGUUUGAGAGGAUGACCAGCCACACUGGGACUGAGAUACGGCCCAGACUCCUACGGGAGGCAGCAGUAAGGAAUCUUCCACAAUGGGGCAACCCUGAUGGAGCAAUACCGCGUGCAGGAUGAAGCGUUUCGGCGUGUAAACUGCUUUAUCACCGAAGAUUAUGACUGUAGGUGAAGAAUAAGGACCGGCUAACUACGUG
Molecule: ribosomal RNA, 410 nt
Filed under: uncultured bacterium
Lineage: Bacteria
Description: bacterial SSU rRNA
Rfam family: Bacterial small subunit ribosomal RNA
Source: RNAcentral